This 119-nucleotide ribosomal RNA is filed under the name Gossypium arboreum. Lineage: Eukaryota; Viridiplantae; Streptophyta; Magnoliopsida; Malvales; Malvaceae. The record is from RNAcentral.
GGGUGCGAUCAUACCAGCACUAAUGCACCGGAUCCCAUCAGAACUCCGCAGUUAAGCGUGCUUGGGCGAGAGUAGUACUAGGAUGGGUGACCUCCAUCGAAGUCCUCGUGUUGCACCCC